Molecule: long non-coding RNA, 206 nt
Organism: Oreochromis aureus
Lineage: Eukaryota; Metazoa; Chordata; Actinopteri; Cichliformes; Cichlidae
Exons: 3
Source: RefSeq, a predicted model, not a curated record
CGGCACCAGCCAGGUUAUCUUUGGAAACACAGGAUAGACCCACCUCCUUAUGUUCCCCAGGUCCCAAGCAGACAGCACCAGCCAGCUUGUCCUUGGAAGCGGAGAAUAGACCCACCUCCUUAUGUCCUCCAGGCAGCAAGAUUUCAGACACUCGUCCACCAGCAAAAGCGAGUCUGGGCAACCGAUGAUUUCCCACGGCAUCAAAU